Molecule: ribosomal RNA, 440 nt
Filed under: uncultured bacterium
Lineage: Bacteria
Description: partial 16S ribosomal RNA
Rfam family: Bacterial small subunit ribosomal RNA
Source: RNAcentral
CCUACGGGUGGCAGCAGUGGGGGAUAUUGCACAAUGGGGGGAACCCUGAUGCAGCGACGCCGCGUGAGUGAAGAAGUACUUCGGUAUGUAAAGCUCUAUUAGCAGGGAAGAAAAUGACGGUACCUGACUAAGAAGCCCCGGCUAACUACGUGCCAGCAGCCGCGGUAAUACGUAGGGGGCCAGCGUUAUCCGGAUUUACUGGGUGUAAAGGGAGCGUAGACGGCGGGGCAAGUCUGGAGUGAAAUCCCAGGGCUUAACCAUGGAACUGCUUUGGAAACUGGCAGGCUGGAGUGCAGGAGAGGUAAGCGGAAUUCCUAGUGUAGCGGUGAAAUGCGUAGAUAUUAGGAGGAACACCGGUGGCGAAGGCGGCUUACUGGACUGUAACUGACGUUGAGGCUCGAAAGCGUGGGGAGCAAACAGGAUUAGAUACCCCAGUAGUC